GACGAACGCUGGCGGCGUGCUUAACACAUGCAAGUCGAACGGAAAGGCCCCUUUGGGGGUCCUCGAGUGGCGAACGGGUGAGUAACACGUGAGUAACCUGCCCUUGACUUCGGGAUAACUUCAGGAAACUGGGGCUAAUACCGGAUAGGAAUCCUUGCUGCAUGGUGGGGGUUGGAAAGCUUCGGCGGUUUUGGAUGGACCCGCGGCUUAUCAGCUUGUUGGUGGGGCAGUGGCGUACCAAGGCUUUGACGGGUAGCCGGCCUGAGAGGGCGACCGGCCACAUUGGGCCUGGGGUACGCCCCAGACCCCAACGGGGGGCAGCGGGGGGAAUUAUGGCACAGUGGCGGGAGGCCUGUGGCGAAACCCCCCGGUGCGGAAUACCGGCCUUCGGGUGGAAACCGCUUUCAGCAGGGGCGAAGCUUGUGGUGACGGUACCUGCAGAAGAAGCACCGGCUAACUACGUG
Molecule: ribosomal RNA, 464 nt
Filed under: uncultured bacterium
Lineage: Bacteria
Description: partial 16S ribosomal RNA
Rfam family: Bacterial small subunit ribosomal RNA
Source: RNAcentral